CGGGACACGUGGUAUCCUGUCUGAAUAUGGGGGGACCAUCCUCCAAGGCUAAAUACUCCUGACUGACCGAUAGUGAACCAGUACCGUGAGGGAAAGGCGAAAAGAACCCCGGCGAGGGGAGUGAAAAAGAACCUGAAACCGUGUACGUACAAGCAGUGGGAGCACGCUUAGGCGUGUGACUGCGUACCUUUUGUAUAAUGGGUCAGCGACUUAUAUUCUGUAGCAAGGUUAACCGAAUAGGGGAGCCGAAGGGAAACCGAGUCUUAACUGGGCGUUAAGUUGCAGGGUAUAGACCCGAAACCCGGUGAUCUAGCCAUGGGCAGGUUGAAGGUUGGGUAACACUAACUGGAGGACCGAACCGACUAAUGUUGAAAAAUUAGCGGAUGACUUGUGGCUGGGGGUGAAAGGCCAAUCAAACCGGGAGAUAGCUGGUUCUCCCCGAAAGCUAUUUAGGUAGCGCCUCGUGAAUUCAUCUCCGGGGGUAGAGCACUGUUUCGGCAAGGGGGUCAUCCCGACUUACCAACCCGAUGCAAACUGCGAAUACCGGAGAAUGUUAUCACGGGAGACACACGGCGGGUGCUAACGUCCGUCGUGAAGAGGGAAACAACCCAGACCGCCAGCUAAGGUCCCAAAGUCAUGGUUAAGUGGGAAACGAUGUGGGAAGGCCCAGACAGCCAGGAUGUUGGCUUAGAAGCAGCCAUCAUUUAAAGAAAGCGUAAUAGCUCACUGGUCGAGUCGGCCUGCGCGGAAGAUGUAACGGGGCUAAACCAUGCACCGAAGCUGCGGCAGCGACGCUGAUGCGUUGUUGGGUAGGGGAGCGUUCUGUAAGCCUGCGAAGGUGUGCUGUGAGGCAUGCUGGAGGUAUCAGAAGUGCGAAUGCUGACAUAAGUAACGAUAAAGCGGGUGAAAAGCCCGCUCGCCGGAAGACCAAGGGUUCCUGUCCAACGUUAAUCGGGGCAGGGUGAGUCGACCCCUAAGGCGAGGCCGAAAGGCGUAGUCGAUGGGAAACAGGUUAAUAUUCCUGUACUUGGUGUUACUGCGAAGGGGGGACGGAGAAGGCUAUGUUGGCCGGGCGACGGUUGUCCCGGUUUAAGCGUGUAGGCUGGUUUUCCAGGCAAAUCCGGAAAAUCAAGGCUGAGGCGUGAUGACGAGGCACUACGGUGCUGAAGCAACAAAUGCCCUGCUUCCAGGAAAAGCCUCUAAGCAUCAGGUAACAUCAAAUCGUACCCCAAACCGACACAGGUGGUCAGGUAGAGAAUACCAAGGCGCUUGAGAGAACUCGGGUGAAGGAACUAGGCAAAAUGGUGCCGUAACUUCGGGAGAAGGCACGCUGAUAUGUAGGUGAAGCGACUUGCUCGUGGAGCUGAAAUCAGUCGAAGAUACCAGCUGGCUGCAACUGUUUAUUAAAAACACAGCACUGUGCAAACACGAAAGUGGACGUAUACGGUGUGACGCCUGCCCGGUGCCGGAAGGUUAAUUGAUGGGGUCAGCGCAAGCGAAGCUCUUGAUCGAAGCCCCGGUAAACGGCGGCCGUAACUAUAACGGUCCUAAGGUAGCGAAAUUCCUUGUCGGGUAAGUUCCGACCUGCACGAAUGGCGUAAUGAUGGCCAGGCUGUCUCCACCCGAGACUCAGUGAAAUUGAACUCGCUGUGAAGAUGCAGUGUACCCGCGGCAAGACGGAAAGACCCCGUGAACCUUUACUAUAGCUUGACACUGAACAUUGAGCCUUGAUGUGUAGGAUAGGUGGGAGGCUUUGAAGUGUGGACGCCAGUCUGCAUGGAGCCGACCUUGAAAUACCACCCUUUAAUGUUU
RNAcentral lists this ribosomal RNA (1812 nucleotides) under Escherichia coli. Its description in RNAcentral is "partial 23S ribosomal RNA". It matches the Rfam family "Bacterial large subunit ribosomal RNA", at positions 418 to 2215 of the family's 2925-position model. Lineage: Bacteria; Pseudomonadati; Pseudomonadota; Gammaproteobacteria; Enterobacterales; Enterobacteriaceae. The record is from RNAcentral.